UGGGGAAUAUUGGACAAUGGGGGCAACCCUGAUCCAGCAAUGCCGCGUGUGUGAAGAAGGUCUUCGGAUUGUAAAGCACUUUCGACGGGGACGAUGAUGACGGUACCCGUAGAAGAAGCCCCGGCUAACUUCGUGCCAGCAGCCGCGGUAAUACGAAGGGGGCUAGCGUUGCUCGGAAUGACUGGGCGUAAAGGGCGUGUAGGCGGUUUACACAGUCAGAUGUGAAAUCCCCGGGCUUAACCUGGGAGCUGCAUUUGAUACGUGUAGACUAGAGUGUGAGAGAGGGUUGUGGAAUUCCCAGUGUAGAGGUGAAAUUCGUAGAUAUUGGGAAGAACACCGGUGGCGAAGGCGGCAACCUGGCUCAUGACUGACGCUGAGGCGCGAAAAGCGUGGGGAGCAAACAGGAUUAGAUACCCUGGUAGUGCCACGCUGUAAAACGAUGUGUGCUAGAUGUUGGGU
This 459-nucleotide ribosomal RNA is filed under the name uncultured bacterium. Its description in RNAcentral is "partial 16S ribosomal RNA". It matches the Rfam family "Bacterial small subunit ribosomal RNA", at positions 355 to 828 of the family's 1533-position model. The record is from RNAcentral.